GUGAGGAAUAUUGCGCAAUGGAGGCAACUCUGACGCAGCCAUGCCGCGUGCAGGAAGAAGGCGCUACGCGUUGUAAACUGCUUUUAACCGGGAAGAAACCCCAGGACGUGUCCUGGGUUGACGGUACCGGAGGAAUAAGCACCGGCUAACUUCGUGCCAGCAGCCGCGGUAAUACGAAGGGUGCAAGCGUUAUCCGGAUUCACUGGGUUUAAAGGGUGCGUAGGCGGAGCGUUAAGUCAGUGGUGAAAUCCUGCAGCUUAACUGUAGACUUGCCAUUGAUACUGGCGCUCUUGAGUGCGCUUGAAGUGGGCGGAAUGUGCCGUGUAGCGGUGAAAUGCUUAGAUAUGGCACAGAACACCAAUUGCGAAGGCAGCUCACUAAGGCGAUACUGACGCUGAGGCACGAAAGCGUGGGGAUCGAACAGGAUUAGAUACCCGAGUAGUCC
RNAcentral lists this ribosomal RNA (445 nucleotides) under uncultured bacterium. Its description in RNAcentral is "partial 16S ribosomal RNA". It matches the Rfam family "Bacterial small subunit ribosomal RNA", at positions 354 to 796 of the family's 1533-position model. The record is from RNAcentral.